Molecule: ribosomal RNA, 406 nt
Filed under: uncultured bacterium
Lineage: Bacteria
Description: partial 16S ribosomal RNA
Rfam family: Bacterial small subunit ribosomal RNA
Source: RNAcentral
AUUGAACGCUGGCGGCAGGCCUAACACAUGCAAGUCGAACGAGUAGCGGACGGGUGAGUAAUGUAUGGGAAACUGCCUGAUGGAGGGGGAUAACUACUGGAAAAGGUAGCUACAACCGCAUACCAUAGGCUGUGCCCAGAUGGGAUUAGCUAGUAGGUGGGGUAACGGCUCACCUAGGCGACGAUCCCUAGCUGGUCUGAGAGGAUGACUAGCCACACGUGAACUUAGACACGGUCCAGACUCCUACGUGAGGCAGCAGUGGGGAAUAUUGCACAAUGGGCGCAAGCCUGAUGCAGCCAUGCCGCUUGUAUGAAGAAGGCCUUCGGGUUGUAAAGUACUUUCAGCGGGGAGGCGUUACCCGCAGAAGAAGCACCGGCUAACUCCGUGCCAGCAGCCGCGGUAAUUC